GCCAAAGGCAGGCGCCAAACCACUGUGCCACCCAGGGAUCCCCUGAGGAGCUUCUAAAACAGGAUAAAGCAAAUGAGUGGUUAUGCUUUUGCACUAAGCAGCAGGUAUUUUGGCAAGAACAAAGGAGAAAUGGAUAUCACAUCAGUGAGGCUGUAGUCCGUGGUACUAAAGGGCAUGAGCCAGGUCUGCAAUGGUCAAGGUGGUCAAUGGUUACUAUGGAGCUGAAGCAGGCCUACUGUCGGGGAGAGCAGGACAAGCUAUUCGUUGCUGUGAUGAGCAAUUUCCCAUAGUGUGCUAUCGAUAUGGAUGAUGUACAUUCCUACCUAGCAUGUGGCAGUUAGAGCUCCGGCUCACCUGAGUUAGAGGGUCUAGAGCACCUGGUUUCUGCGAGGCCCUCAAGACAUGCUUGUCAAUGGGAUGAAACUGCCCACCUACCUAGAUGAAGGCUGCAGUCACAAACCAGACAGUGCCCUUUUCAUGUACCCAGUGGGGUGAGGUCUGCUCACCAUGCAGCAAUGAUCUCUCUAGACAUUACUGGCAUGGAGUGUUUUCACCAUAAAGGAGGCAUCUUUUAAUUAGGGACAGCUGUGCUGCACUAUUCCAUCUGGUGACUGGGAAACAUAUGAGUCCUGGGUCCAGACCUCCAAUUUACUUUACAUUUCCAUUCCUGCUCCUGUCCUGAUCUUCUCCCUUUCUUGCAACAUGUUAGA
This is a long non-coding RNA of Canis lupus familiaris (dog), 710 nucleotides long. RefSeq lists it as uncharacterized. The record is from RefSeq and is a predicted model, not a curated record. Lineage: Eukaryota; Metazoa; Chordata; Mammalia; Carnivora; Canidae. The transcript is spliced from 4 exons.